RNAcentral lists this ribosomal RNA (440 nucleotides) under uncultured bacterium. Its description in RNAcentral is "partial 16S ribosomal RNA". It matches the Rfam family "Bacterial small subunit ribosomal RNA", at positions 338 to 795 of the family's 1533-position model. The record is from RNAcentral.
CCUACGGGAGGCAGCAGUGGGGAAUAUUGCACAAUGGGGGAAACCCUGAUGCAGCGACGCCGCGUGAAGGAAGAAGUAUUUCGGUAUGUAAACUUCUAUCAGCAGGGAAGAAAAUGACGGUACCUGACUAAGAAGCCCCGGCUCACUACGUGCCAGCAGCCGCGGUAAUACGUAGGGCGCAAGCGUUAUCCGGAUUUACUGGGGGUAAAGGGGGCGUAGGCGGUUUAGCAAGUCCGAAGUGAAGGCCGGGGGGUAAACUCCGGGACUGCUGUUGAAACUGUUGAACUAGAUUGCAGGAGAGGUAAGUGGAAUUCGUGGUGUAGCGGUGAAAUGCGUAGAUAUUAGGAGGAACACCAGUGGCGAAGGCGACUUACUGGACUGUAAAUGACGCUGAGGCUCGAAAGCGUGGGGAGCAAACAGGAUUAGAUACCCCAGUAGUC